GACGAACGCUGGCGGCGUGCUUAACACAUGCAAGUCGAACGGAAAGGCCCUGCUCUUGUUGGGUGCUCGAGUGGCGAACGGGUGAGUAACACGUGUGUAACCUGCCCUUGACUUUGGGAUAACUUCAGGAGACUGGGGCUAAUACCGGAUAGGAGCUCCUGCAGCAUGGUGGUGGUUGGUAAGAUUCGGCGGUUGGGGAUGGACUCGCGGCUUAUCCGCUUGUUAGGCGGGUAGUGGCUUACCAAGGCUUUGACGGGUAGCCGGCCUGAGAGGGUGACCGGGCACAAGGGGACUGAGAGACGGACCAGACGCGAACGGGAGGCAGCAGGGGGGAAUAUGGCACAAUGGGGGGGAGCCUGAUACAGCAGCGCCGGGUGCGGGAUGACGGCCUUCGAGUGGUAAACCGCUUUCGCAGGUGACGAAGCGUGAGUGACGGUAAUGGGUAAAGAAGCACCGGCUAACUACGUG
RNAcentral lists this ribosomal RNA (468 nucleotides) under uncultured bacterium. Its description in RNAcentral is "partial 16S ribosomal RNA". It matches the Rfam family "Bacterial small subunit ribosomal RNA", at positions 28 to 507 of the family's 1533-position model. The record is from RNAcentral.